GGGUGUAAUUCAAUGGUAGAAUGAUGGUCUCCAAAACCAUUCAUGUGGGUUCAACUCCUGCCACCC
RNAcentral lists this transfer RNA (66 nucleotides) under human gut metagenome. It matches the Rfam family "tRNA". From Rfam's summary of the family: Transfer RNA (tRNA) molecules are approximately 80 nucleotides in length. Their secondary structure includes four short double-helical elements and three loops (D, anti-codon, and T loops). The record is from RNAcentral.